Molecule: long non-coding RNA, 730 nt
Filed under: Nicotiana tabacum (common tobacco)
Lineage: Eukaryota; Viridiplantae; Streptophyta; Magnoliopsida; Solanales; Solanaceae
Description: long non-coding RNA (NTAB_LNC002374)
Source: RNAcentral
AGCUUUUCCAUGCAGUCAACAUUAGGGUUUUAAAACCCUAAACUGAAUUUUCCCUUUAGUCAGCAUUAGGGUUUUAAACCCUAAACUGAACUUUUCCUUUAAUCAGCAUUAGGGUUUUAAACCCUAAACUGAACUUUUUCCUUUCAGUCAGCAUUAGGGUUUUAAACCCUAAACUGAAUUUUCCCUUUAGUUAGCAUUAGGGUUUUAAACCCCUAAACUGAACUUUUCCAUUUAGUCAGCGUUAGGGUUUUAAACCCUAAACUGAACUUUACCAUUCAGUCAGCAUUAGGGUUUUAAACCCUAAACUGAACUUUUUCAUUCAGUCAGCAUUAGGGUUUUAAACCCUAAACUGAUUUUUUCCUUUCAGUCAGCAUUAGGGUUUUAAAACCCUAAACUGAACUUUUCCAUUCAGUCAGCAUUAGGAUUCUAAACCCUAAACUGAACUUUUCCUUUAGUCAGCGUUAGGGUUUUAAACCCUAAACUAAACUUUUUUCAUUCAGCCAGCAUUAGGGUUUUAAACCCUAAACUGAGCUUUUCCAUGCAAUCAGCAUUAAGGUUUUAAACCCUAAACUGAAUUUUUCCUUUAGUCAGCAUUAGGGUUUUAAACCCUAAACUGAACUUUUUUCCAUUCAGCCAGCAUUAGGGUUUUAAACCCUAAACUGAGCUUUUCCAUGCAAUCAGCAUUAGGGUUUUAAAACCCUAAACUGAAUUUUCCCUUUAGUCAGCAUUA